RNAcentral lists this ribosomal RNA (86 nucleotides) under Lachnospiraceae bacterium. Its description in RNAcentral is "partial 23S ribosomal RNA". It matches the Rfam family "Bacterial large subunit ribosomal RNA", at positions 2839 to 2925 of the family's 2925-position model. The record is from RNAcentral. Lineage: Bacteria; Bacillati; Bacillota; Clostridia; Lachnospirales; Lachnospiraceae.
UGAAGAGUACGAGGUAGAUAGGGCAGAGGUGGAAGUGUGGUAACACAUGGAGCUGACUGUUACUAAUCGUUUGAGGGCUUGACCAA